This 247-nucleotide ribosomal RNA is filed under the name uncultured Oscillospiraceae bacterium. RNAcentral describes it as "partial 16S ribosomal RNA". It matches the Rfam family "Bacterial small subunit ribosomal RNA", at positions 796 to 1041 of the family's 1533-position model. The record is from RNAcentral. Lineage: Bacteria; Bacillati; Bacillota; Clostridia; Eubacteriales; Oscillospiraceae.
CACGCUGUAAACGAUGGAUACUAGGUGUAGGAGGUAUCGACCCCUUCUGUGCCGGAGUUAACACAAUAAGUAUCCCACCUGGGGAGUACGAUCGCAAGGUUGAAACUCAAAGGAAUUGACGGGGGCCCGCACAAGCAGUGGAGUAUGUGGUUUAAUUCGAAGCAACGCGAAGAACCUUACCAGGACUUGACAUCCAAUGAAUCCUAUAGAGAUAUGGGAGUGCCUUUUGGAACAUUGAGACAGGUGG